Molecule: ribosomal RNA, 440 nt
Filed under: uncultured bacterium
Lineage: Bacteria
Description: partial 16S ribosomal RNA
Rfam family: Bacterial small subunit ribosomal RNA
Source: RNAcentral
CUACGGGUGGCUGCAGUCGAGAAUCUUCGGCAAUGGACGAAAGUCUGACCGAGCGACGCCGCGUGCGGGAUGAAGGCCUUCGGGUUGUAAACCGCUGUCAGAGGGGAUGAAAUUUUGACAAAUCCUCAGAGGAAGGACGGGCUAAGUUCGUGCCAGCAGCCGCGGUAAGACGAACCGUCCAAACGUUAUUCGGAAUCACUGGGCUUAAAGGGUGCGUAGGCGGCUUGGUAAGUUGGGUGUGAAAUCCCUCGGCUCAACCGAGGAACUGCGCUCAAAACUACCAAGCUUGAGGGAGUCAGAGGUGAGCGGAACUCAGGGUGGAGCGGUGAGAUGCGUUGAUAUCCUGGGGAACACCGGUUGCGAAAGCUGCUCACUGGGGCUCUACUGACGCUGAGGCACGAAAGCUAGGGGAGCCAACGGGAUUAGAUACCCGCGUAGUC